UACGUAGGGGGCAAGCGUUGUCCGGAUUUAUUGGGCGUAAAGAGCGUGUAGGCGGCCAGGUAGGUCUGCUGUGAAAACUCGAGGCUUAACCUCGAGAUGUCGGCGGAAACCAUCUGGCUAGAGUCCGGAAGAGGAGAGUGGAAUUCCUGGUGUGGCGGUGUAAUGCGCAGAUAUCAGGAAGAACACCCGUGGCGAAGGCGGCUCUCUGGGACGGUACUGACGCUGAGACGCGAAAGCGUGGGGAGCGAACAGG
RNAcentral lists this ribosomal RNA (253 nucleotides) under uncultured bacterium. RNAcentral's name for it is "partial 16S ribosomal RNA". It matches the Rfam family "Bacterial small subunit ribosomal RNA", at positions 524 to 776 of the family's 1533-position model. The record is from RNAcentral.